This 1362-nucleotide long non-coding RNA is filed under the name Zonotrichia albicollis (white-throated sparrow). RNAcentral's name for it is "lncRNA (ENSZALG00000001283.1)". The record is from RNAcentral. Lineage: Eukaryota; Metazoa; Chordata; Aves; Passeriformes; Passerellidae.
ACCAGUACAGACAUGGACGAGGGACUGGGGGAUACUGGGAUCUACUGGGAGCUCCUCCCACCCCAAGAUCAUCCCGAGAAUGCAAAUCCUGGGCAAGAAGGGGCUGAUUGUUGUGGCCACGGCCAUUGUCCUGCAGCUGCAGGGCCCUGUGGGGCUGGGGAGUGACAGGGACCGGGCUGGGAAUUCUGUCACUCCGGGCUGGGAAUAGAGGCUGGGAAUUCUGUCAUCCUGGGCUGGGAAUUCUGUCACUCUGGGCUGGGAAUAGAGGCUGGGAAUUCUGUCAUUUCAGGAUGGGAAUAGAGGCUGGGAAUUCUGUCACUCCAGGCUGGGAAUUCUGUCACUCUGGGCUGGGAAUGUAGGUGGGAAUUCUGUCAUUCCAGACUGGGAAUUCUGUCAUCCUGGGCUGGGAAUAGAGGCUGGGAAUUCUGUCACUCCGGGGUGGGAAUAGAGGCUGGGAAUUCUGUCACUCCGGGGUGGGAAUUCUGUCACUCUGAGCUGGGAAUGCAGGUGGGAAUUCUGUCAUUCCAGGCUGGGAAUACACCUGGGAAUUCUGUCAUUUCAGGAUGGGAAUACAGGUGGGAAUUCUAUCAUACUGGGCUCGGAAUAUAGCUGGGAAUUCUGUCAUUCCAAGCUGGAAAUAGUGGCUGGGAAUUCUGUCAUUUCAGGAUGGGAAUUCUGUCAUUCCAGACUGGGAAUAAGGGCUGGGAAUUCUGUCACUCUGGGCUGAGAAUGCAGGUGGGAAUUCUGUCACACUGGGCUGGGAAUACAGCUGGGAAUUCUUUCAUUCCAGGCUCAGAACACAUGUGGGAAUUCUGUCAUUCCAGGCUGGGAAUAUGGGCUGGGAAUUCUGUCAUUUCAGGAUGGGAAUACAGGUGGGAAUCCUGUCAUUCCAGACUGAGAAUUCUGCCACUGGGCUGGGAAUACAGCUGGGAAUUCUGUCACUCCAGGCUGGAAAUACAGGUGGGAAUUUUGUCAUUCCAGGCUGGGAAUAUGGGCUGGGAAUUCUGUUAUUUCAGGAUGGGAAUACAGGUGGGAAUCCUGUCAUUCCAGACUGGGAAUCCUGUCAUUCCAGGCUGGGAAUGUGGGCUGGGAAUUCUGUCACUCCAAGCUGGGAAUUCACUCAUUCUAGGCUGGGAAUACAGCUGGGAAUUCUGUCACUCCAGGCCAGGAAUACAAUCUGAGUGUGCAGGGCAGUCCCAGGAUGAGGUUAAGUAUAUGUGACCUGUCCACUUUGGUCAAAAUCCACAGUUUUGUCCUGGAUUGAUGGGAUGUGACACAUCCUGACACCAUUCCAUUGUCAUCCCUAUUUACUGGGGAUGUCAGGACUUCAUAUAAUAAACAGGACUUCAUAUAAUAAAUACA